This 497-nucleotide ribosomal RNA is filed under the name uncultured bacterium. Its description in RNAcentral is "partial 16S ribosomal RNA". It matches the Rfam family "Bacterial small subunit ribosomal RNA", at positions 28 to 507 of the family's 1533-position model. The record is from RNAcentral.
GAUGAACGCUGGCGGCGUGCCUAAUACAUGCAAGUCGAGCGAACAGACGAGGAGCUUGCUCCUCUGACGUUAGCGGCGGACGGGUGAGUAACACGUGGAUAACCUACCUAUAAGACUGGGAUAACUUCGGGAAACCGGAGCUAAUACCGGAUAAUAUAUUGAACCGCAUGGUUCAAUAGUGAAAGACGGUUUUGCUGUCACUUAUAGAUGGAUCCGCGCCGCAUUAGCUAGUUGGUAAGGUAACGGCUUACCAAGGCAACGAUGCGUAGCCGACCUGAGAGGGUGAUCGGCCACACUGGAACUGAGACACGGUCCAGACUCCUAAGGGAGGCAGCAGUAGGGAAUCUUCCGCAAUGGGCGAAAGCCUGACGGAGCAACGCCGCGUGAGUGAUGAAGGUCUUCGGAUCGUAAAACUCUGUUAUUAGGGAAGAACAAAUGUGUAAGUAACUGUGCACGUCUUGACGGUACCUAAUCAGAAAGCCACGGCUAACUACGUG